RNAcentral lists this ribosomal RNA (460 nucleotides) under uncultured bacterium. RNAcentral describes it as "partial 16S ribosomal RNA". It matches the Rfam family "Bacterial small subunit ribosomal RNA", at positions 338 to 795 of the family's 1533-position model. The record is from RNAcentral.
CCUACGGGAGGCAGCAGUGAGGAAUAUUUGUCAAUGGACGAGAGUCUGAACCAGCCAAGUAGCGUGAAGGAUGACUGCCCUUUGGGUUGUAAACUUCUUUUAUAAAGGAAUAAAACGAGGCACGUGUGCCUUUUUGCAUGUACUUUAUGAAUAAGGAUCGGCUAACUCCGUGCCAGCAGCCGCGGUAAUACAGAGGAUCCGAGCGUUGUCCGGAUUUGUUGGGUUUAAAGGGAGCGUAGAUGGGUUGUUAAGUCAGUUGUGAAAGUUUGCGGCUCAACCGUAAAAUUGCAAGUGAUACUGGCAGUCUUGAGUACAGUUGAGGUAGGCGGAAUUCGUGGUGUAGCGGUGAAAUGCUUAGAUAUCACGAAGAACCCCGAUUGCGAAGGCAGCUUACUAAACUGUGACUGACAUUGAUGCUCGAAAGUGUGGGUAUCAAACAGGAUUAGAUACCCCUGUAGUC